This is a long non-coding RNA of Orbicella faveolata, 923 nucleotides long. The record is from RefSeq and is a predicted model, not a curated record. Lineage: Eukaryota; Metazoa; Cnidaria; Anthozoa; Scleractinia; Merulinidae.
CAUUCAUUCAUUCAAUCAGACCAACGUCUCCCUUUGGAGAAUUAGAAGCAAUAAAGAUACAUGUAUAUUGUUGCUGUUAUAGUCAAUCUGUCAGUCGGUCAGUCAAUCUUUAAUUAAUCUAUUUGCUUUCUUUUUUAAAUAAAAAAACUUAAGAGCAGCACACAGCAACUUGCCUUGUAUAACUGAGUUUAUUAAUCGACCGGCUUCGUAUGCUACUGAGACUUCAUCAGGAUAAAACUACAAGAUACAUAAAUGGAACUUAUUUUAUACUAGAGCUUUGUAGUACAAAUAACGUUCCAAUUAGGGUGUGAACAACAAAACACCUACAAGAAAUACGUGCGGGAAAUGACUAAAAUCCUGUGCUAGAAAGUGGGCGAUUUAUGUGGGGGUUUUAAUGUUGAAACCGUGAGCCCCCAAUUUAAAAUUGUGAUUAUUGCAUAGUUAAACUUGUUCUUGUUCUGGAUUUACAAAUACAUGUAGCUAUGCUGGCAGGCUCGUGAGGAUAAAAAACCUGUAGUGGCACUAUUACUGCGCCCCAAUACAACUUUGCAUGGGAAAUUGAAUGAGGCAACGUUGAGGGUUUUUCAGAGGGUACUUGGGCAAUGCCAGGAAGGUUGGCUCUUCUGGAUUGCGGAAACAACAUCCAAAGAUGGCCAAGAAGCACUCAAAUUGUAUGGGAACAGAAGUAAUGAUGUGGACCAGUUGAUAUUUUUAACUCCAUCAGCCGGAAGAAAUCUCACCUUCAUUGAGCGGAUUGAAGGUGACACAAUUUUUGACAUUGAAAUCAGUAUGGUUUGCUCUGAAAACUUAACCACCCUCAUUUUGUUACUUGAUAAAUAAUUUUCCAAAAUUGUUUUGUAUUGAUCUGCAUUUUUAAAGUAUAACUUACAUAUUGUGUACCCCCAACCCAUUUGUGAUUUAUU